AGCGAACGCUGGCGGCAGGCCUAACACAUGCAAGUCGAACGAACCUUUCGGGGUUAGUGGCGGACGGGUGAGUAACACGUGGGAACGUGCCUUUAGGUUCGGAAUAACUCAGGGAAACUUGUGCUAAUACCGAAUGUGCCCUUCGGGGGAAAGAUUUAUCGCCUUUAGAGCGGCCCGCGUCUGAUUAGCUAGUUGGUUGAGGUAAUGGCUCACCAAGGCGACGAUCAGUAGCUGGUCUGAGAGGAUGAUCAGCCACAUUGGGACUGAGACACGGCCCAAACUCCUACGGGAGGCAGCAAUGGGGAAUCUUGCGCAAUGGGCGAAAGCCUGACGCAGCCAUGCCGCGUGAAUGAUGAAGGUCUUAGGAUUGUAAAAUUCUUUCACCGGGGACGAUAAUGACGGUACCCGGAGAAGAAGCCCCGGCUAACUUCGUG
RNAcentral lists this ribosomal RNA (434 nucleotides) under uncultured bacterium. Its description in RNAcentral is "partial 16S ribosomal RNA". It matches the Rfam family "Bacterial small subunit ribosomal RNA", at positions 29 to 507 of the family's 1533-position model. The record is from RNAcentral.